GUGGGGAAUCUUCCGCAAUGGACGAAAGUCUGACGGAGCAACGCCGCGUGAGUGAAGAAGGUUUUCGGAUCGUAAAGCUCUUUCGUUAGGGACGAACGUGCUCUUUGUGAAUAAUGAGGGGUAAUGACGGUACCUAAAUAAGAAGCCACGGCUAACUACGUGCCAGCAGCCGCGGUAAUACGUAGGUGGCAUGCGUUGUCCGGAAUUAUUUGGCGUAAAGCGCGCGCAGGCGGGAUAUCAAGUCUGUCUUAAAAGUGCGAGGCUCAACCUCGUGAGGGGACAGAAACUGGUAUUCUUGAGUGUCGGAGAGGAAAGUGGAAUUCCAAGUGUAGCGGUGAAAUGCGUAGAGAUUUGGAAGAACACCAGUGGCGAAGGCGACUUUCUGGACGAUGUCUGACGCUGAGGCGCGAAAGCUAGGGGAGCGAACGGGAUUAGAUACCCGUGUAGUCC
This 450-nucleotide ribosomal RNA is filed under the name uncultured bacterium. RNAcentral describes it as "partial 16S ribosomal RNA". It matches the Rfam family "Bacterial small subunit ribosomal RNA", at positions 354 to 796 of the family's 1533-position model. The record is from RNAcentral.